CUAAUUAAAAUGGAUUAUUCCGGCGACAAUUGGCCGGACAGACCAAAAUUGAUAAAAAUUAGAUAGUCAGGGUACUCAAUUGUUACUUUUUAAAGUCAUUGAUUGAAAUUAACAAGACCUCAAUAGUCAUUGGAC
Long non-coding RNA from Ipomoea nil (Japanese morning glory), 135 nucleotides. RefSeq lists it as uncharacterized. The transcript has 3 exons. The record is from RefSeq and is a predicted model, not a curated record. NCBI's taxonomy places the organism in Eukaryota, Viridiplantae, Streptophyta, Magnoliopsida, Solanales, Convolvulaceae.